GAGGCGUCAUUACUGGUUUAAGACGGUCAAUAAGGGUAAUCACGAAUUAGAACGAGAGGACGACUUUGUUACAGUCUGUAAUCACGGAACGUUACGAGCCGUUGUAUUUAAAACGAUAUGAUAACUACGCUGGCUCACAUUUUACCCAUCUUUUUCUUUCUUUUUCUUCUUUCUUCCUCCUAUCGUUUAAUUCUAGCACUUGAAAGUAAAGGGAUUUGGUUAAAGGGACCACUAUGUACAGUACGUACACAGGGAACUAUGAAAUAUGAAAUAUACAUGACACUAGUUAGUUCAUGUACAUACAUGUUACACAUUACAGCUGGCAGUCUGAAAGUACUUUCUCUCUAUUGUGGGAUUUAAUCGCCCGGCCGUUGCUAAGAAACGGACAGCAUCGCUGUAGUGCCGACUUCGUUAAUUCCUCCCUGGAAAGAUGACAUCAUUUGGCGCGUGAUGAGCCGAGCACCGAGAUCCGACGCGUCUUAAGUGGGGAGAAAUGUAUUUCCACGAGUAAGGGCUCGCACAAGCUUAUAAAGAAAAUCCUCAGUGAGCGCAAACGUGUUAAACGGAUCGAUACCCGACCAGUCGGAUUUGAGAAUUACAAUAUAAUGCCGUCGGAACUUUAGAGUCUAGCUAAAAAAAAAAAAAAAAAAAAAAAAACAACCAAAGAAUUGUAGCUAUAAUAAAAUAAGGAAAUAAAUAAAUAAUGCAAUGUAAUCCUGAACGUCUCGGAUAUCGGCUUGACGCAUUUAAGAUGCACACGGCAUUAAGACAGAUUUAGCAAGACCCGUGUCAUGUCCCAUAUUCAAGGCCAGGUUCACAAUCAAAACGUUACUUAACAAAAGAAAAAACAAAACAGCGAUUUUAUUAAUACAAUUAGAAUUUUAAUACAAAUCCUUUUUGACGCAGUUUCUAUCCUGUGUUAAAAAUCGAAAAGCAGAGACGUGAUUGAUCUGUUCUUAGUAUUAAGUAUUACUCUUAUCCCAUUCAUAUACACCGUCCAGACAAAUUUCCCACCCGCCUUCCUUACGAAAAAGACGUCUGUGUGUUAAUAUUUCCCUAAAUAUAUCCUCUCAUCGAAGCUACAAGCUAACAUGCUAAUUCUGGCUUUGUAUUUGUAUUCUUGUGAAAGAAAAGUACGUUUAUUUUUAUCCGUGUCAUGCUUUUUCUUUUUUUUCUUCUUUUUUUUUUUACAGUGCUUUACAAUCUUCAACACUGAGUAAACCAUUACCUCAUUUUAUUACUACGUUACGGUUAUAUUUAACAACGCCACACCUGAGCAAAGUGCGUGAAAUUUCUAAACGACCCAC
Long non-coding RNA from Ictalurus punctatus (channel catfish), 1307 nucleotides. The record is from Ensembl. NCBI's taxonomy places the organism in Eukaryota, Metazoa, Chordata, Actinopteri, Siluriformes, Ictaluridae.